This 459-nucleotide ribosomal RNA is filed under the name uncultured bacterium. RNAcentral describes it as "partial 16S ribosomal RNA". It matches the Rfam family "Bacterial small subunit ribosomal RNA", at positions 338 to 795 of the family's 1533-position model. The record is from RNAcentral.
CCUACGGGUGGCAGCAGUGAGGAAUAUUGGUCAAUGGGCGCGAGCCUGAACCAGCCAAGUAGCGUGAAGGAUGACUGCCCUACGGGUUGUAAACUUCUUUUAUAAAGGAAUAAAGUGAGGCACGUGUGCCUUUUUGUAUGUACUUUAUGAAUAAGGAUCGGCUAACUCCGUGCCAGCAGCCGCGGUAAUACGGAGGAUCCGAGCGUUAUCCGGAUUUAUUGGGUUUAAAGGGAGCGUAGAUGGGUUGUUAAGUCAGUGGUGAAAGUGUGCGGCUCAACCGGAAAAUUGCAAUUGAUACUGGCGGUCUUGAGUACAGUUGAGGUAGGCGGAAUUCGUGGUGUAGCGGUGAAAUGCUUAGAUAUCACGAAGAACUCCGAUUGCGAGGGCAGCUUACUAAACUGCCACUGACAUUGAUGCUCGAAAGUGUGGGUAUCAAACAGGAUUAGAUACCCUGGUAUC